Molecule: ribosomal RNA, 253 nt
Filed under: uncultured bacterium
Lineage: Bacteria
Description: partial 16S ribosomal RNA
Rfam family: Bacterial small subunit ribosomal RNA
Source: RNAcentral
UACGUAGGGUGCAAGCGUUGUCCGGAUUUAUUGGGCGUAAAGAGCGUGUAGGCGGCCAGGUAGGUCUGCUGUGAAAACUCGAGGCUCAACCUCGAGACGUCGGCGGAAACCAUCUGGCUAGAGUCCGGAAGAGGAGAGUGGAAUUCCUGGUGUAGCGGUGAAAUGCGCAGAUAUCAGGAAGAACACCCGUGGCGAAGGCGGCUCUCUGGGACGGGACUGACGCUGAGACGCGAAAGCGUGGGGAGCGAACAGG